AAGUCGUAACAAGGUUUCCGUAGGUGAACCUGCGGAAGGAUCAUUAUCAUACAACCGAGGCACGAGGGCUGUCGCUGACGUUUUCGUCGUGCACGCCCAAAGCGCUCUCACACAUCCAUCUCACCCUUAUGUGCACCACCGCGUGGGUCCCCCCUUUUGAAGGGGGGGCUCGCGUUUUCAUACAAACUUGACGCAGUGUAGAAUGUCUUUAUAUUUUGCGAUCACACGCAAUCAAUACAACUUUCAACAACGGAUCUCUUGGCUCUCGCAUCGAUGAAGAACGCAGCGAAAUGCGAUACGUAAUGUGAAUUGCAGAAUUCAGUGAAUCAUCGAAUCUUUGAACGCACCUUGCGCCCCUUGGCAUUCCGAGGGGCACACCCGUUUGAGUGUCGUGAAAUUCUCAAAACCUUUUCUUUGGUCUUUCGACCGGGUUUAGCGUUUUGGACUUGGAGGCUUUUUGCUGGUUUCACCUUGAAGCGAGCUCCUCCUAAAUGGAUUAGCGGGGUCUGCUUUGCCGAUCCUUGACGUGAUAAGAUGUUUCUACGUCUCGGGUUUGGCACUGUCCCUUGGGCACCUGCUUCUAACCGUCUCAUCGACAAUGAUGGCGUUCCGGUCACCACCGUUUCAUCGGUGGGAGNCUCGACCCACGAAACAAAGCUUGACCUCAAAUCGGGUGGACUACCCGCUGAACUUAAGCAUAUCAAUAAGCGGAGGAAAAGAAACUACANGGAUUCCCCUAGCANCUGCGAGUGAAGCGGGAAAAGCUCAAANUUUAAAAUCUGGUGGCCUUUGNCCNUCCGAGUNGUAAUUUAGAGAAGCGUCUUCCGCGCUGGACCGUGCACAAGUCUCCUGGAAUGGAGCGUCAUAGAGGGUGAGAAUCCCGUCUUUGGCACGGACACACCAGGGCUUCUGUGAUGCGCUCUCGAAGAGUCGAGUUGUUUGGGAAUGCAGCUCAAAAUGGGUGGUGAACUCCAUCUAAAGCUAAAUAUUGGCGAGAGACCGAUAGCGAACAAGUACCGUGAGGGAAAGAUGAAAAGCACUUUGGAAAGAGAGUGAAACAGUACGUGAAAUUGUUGAAAGGGAAACGCUUGAAGUCAGUCGCGUUGGACGAGACUCAGCCUUGCCUUGGCUUGGUGUACUUCUCGGCCGACGGGUCAGCAUCAAUUUUGCCCCUUGGAUAAUGGCGAGGGAAAUGUGACACCUUUACGGGUGUGUUAUAGUCCUUCGUCGCAUGCAAGGGUCGGGAUUGAGGAAUUCGGCACGCGCCUUUCGGCGUCGGGGCUUGCCCACGAUACGUGCUUAGGAUGUUGGCGUAAUGGCUUUAAACGACC
This 1331-nucleotide ribosomal RNA is filed under the name uncultured fungus. Its description in RNAcentral is "eukaryotic LSU rRNA". The stretch from base 660 to 1331 matches the Rfam family "Eukaryotic large subunit ribosomal RNA", at positions 1 to 649 of the family's 3401-position model. Lineage: Eukaryota; Fungi. The record is from RNAcentral.